Molecule: ribosomal RNA, 116 nt
Filed under: Salinivibrio kushneri
Lineage: Bacteria; Pseudomonadati; Pseudomonadota; Gammaproteobacteria; Vibrionales; Vibrionaceae
Source: RNAcentral
CUUGGCGACCAUAGCGCUUUGGACCCACCUGACUCCAUGCCGAACUCAGUAGUGAAACGAAGCAGCGCCGAUGGUAGUGUGGGGUCUCCCCAUGUGAGAGUAGGACAUUGCCAAGC